GGAGUCCUCUCUGCUCCUCACUCUCCCUCUUUCUGAUCGUCAUUCUGUGGAGAGAGAGAGAGAGACUUCAUACUAUUUUAGGACCCCAUCACUUUUCAAAAACCUGGUGGAGAACCCUGCCAAAGCUCCGGGGCUGGGGGAGGGGAGGCUGGGCAAUCUGAGCCCGGGGCAGGCUGGGUGUCUGGGAAGCCAGGUUACAACCGCCAGCUGCAAAGUUCGGGCGCAAAUCGCUCCGCACCCUUGACUUCACCAGCCCACUCAGGCCCAACUCGACCCGGUCCGACCCGACAGGCCCACCUCCUCCUUGGCACGCCCAGCCGCCGUUCCUCCCCACCCGUCACUUAGGACUCUGCACACCAGGCACCAUGUAAAAUUGUUGUGUUUCUGGAAACACACCACACGCCGAGAAGCCUUGAAAUUCUUCUUGGAACCGCUGGUCCUUCCCAGGCGUGCUGUUGCCAUGGGAACCUGCAGAGGCUGCCUCGCUCUGGGGGAGAAAGGGCUUUGUUGAUGAAAGCCGAAGAAUCCCACCACUGCUGUUCCAGCCACUACAAUAGGGGGCUAGCUCUCACAACUCCAGAAUGCAGCCAGCCACUGGGGGCCGCCUGUCUGUGGAGGUUCCCACGCACCCCACCUGCUGCCCCGUGCUCAGUGGGUCCCUAAGUGAGCAGCCGUGACUCGAAGACGAUGACGUGUCUGCAGAGCGUGUACACUUGGCUUUGUGGGACAGAUGGGCAAACUGAGGCCUCAGACGCACAAGUGAGUUCCGGAGUCCUGCAGCCAGUAAAACAGAAGCGUCAUCCUUUGAAGUGUGCCAUGGCCUAGAAACGCUGGGGACCACAUGGAAGCAAGGUGCAGGACGGGGAGGACCCAGGAGCUGGUCUCCAGAACAGGUGUAUGCCAUCUAAUUCCCCAUUCAGAGGACAGUCUACGUCAGUGACUCUCAACCUUCCUAACGCUGUGACCCUUUAGUACACGUUGUGUUGACCCCCAACCAUAAAAUUAUUUUGUGCUACUUCAUAACUACAUUUUUGCUACUGUUAUGACUUGUAAUGUAAAUACUGUUAUGCAGGGUAUCUAGUAUGCGAUCCCUGUAAAAGGGUUGAUUGAGCCCCAAGGGGGUCAUGAACCACAGGUUGAGAACCACUUGUCUAAGAGGACAAAAAACCAGCCCAUCUCCUCCUGUUAAAAUUCCGC
Molecule: long non-coding RNA, 1197 nt
Organism: Peromyscus maniculatus bairdii (prairie deer mouse)
Lineage: Eukaryota; Metazoa; Chordata; Mammalia; Rodentia; Cricetidae
Source: RefSeq, a predicted model, not a curated record